Molecule: ribosomal RNA, 267 nt
Filed under: uncultured bacterium
Lineage: Bacteria
Description: partial 16S ribosomal RNA
Rfam family: Bacterial small subunit ribosomal RNA
Source: RNAcentral
AGUAGUGCAGAGGUAGGCGGAAUUCCCGGUGUAGCGGUGGAAUGCGUAGAUAUCGGGAGGAACACCAUUGGCGAAGGCGGCCUACUGGGCACCAACUGACGCUGAGGCUCGAAAGUGUGGGUAGCAAACAGGAUUAAAUACCCUGGUAGUCCACACCGUAAACGAUGAUUACUACGUGUUGGAGGAUUGACCCCUUCAGUGCCGCAGUUAACACAAUAAGUAAUCCACCUGGGGAGUACGACCGCAAGGUUGAAACUCAAAGAAUUU